AAUUUAUUUACAAAAAAAAAGAAAAAAAGAGUGUGUGUGUGUAUUGGUUAAAAGAUUAGUACACAUACAGACAUAAGUACAGUUCUGAGAUCAGAUUCAUAGUAGAAAUGGUGAGCUGUGUAGCGGCAAAGAGUUUUUUUCAGAAUUAGUUCAUAGAUUAUAGUCCAAUGUCCAUAUUCAGGGUGAAUCCAGUUUAGGACCGGAGAUCUCAGCCUUGUGGC
Long non-coding RNA from Dermochelys coriacea (leatherback sea turtle), 221 nucleotides. RefSeq lists it as uncharacterized. The transcript is spliced from 3 exons. NCBI's taxonomy places the organism in Eukaryota, Metazoa, Chordata, Testudines, Dermochelyidae. The record is from RefSeq and is a predicted model, not a curated record.